GACGAACGCUGGCGGCGUGCUUAACACAUGCAAGUCGAACGGAUUGCUUGGUGCUUGCACUGAGUGGUUAGUGGCGAACGGGUGAGUAACACGUGAGUAACCUGCCCCCUUCUUUGGGAUAAGCACCUGAAAGGGUGUCUAAUACUGAUUAUUCUGCUGGAAUCGCAUGGUUUUGGUUGGAAAGGUUUUUCUGGUGGGGGAUGGGCUCGCGGCUUAUCAGCUUGUUGGUGGGGUAAUGGCUUACCAAGGCUUUGACGGGUAACCGGCCUGAGAGGGUGACCGGUCACAUUGGGACUGAGAUACGGCCCAGACUCCUACGGGAGGCAGCAGUGGGGAAUACUGCACAAUGGACGAAAGUCUGAUGCAGCGACGCCGCGUGAGGGAUGAAGGCCUUCGGGUUGUAAACCUUUUUCGCUUUUGACCAAGGCAGCAUUUUGUGUUGUUGAGGGUAUGAGGUAAAGAAGCUCCGGCUAACUACGUGCCAGCAGCCGCGGUAAGUAGCGU
Molecule: ribosomal RNA, 504 nt
Filed under: uncultured bacterium
Lineage: Bacteria
Description: bacterial SSU rRNA
Rfam family: Bacterial small subunit ribosomal RNA
Source: RNAcentral